RNAcentral lists this long non-coding RNA (554 nucleotides) under Mytilus galloprovincialis (Mediterranean mussel). The record is from RNAcentral. Lineage: Eukaryota; Metazoa; Mollusca; Bivalvia; Mytilida; Mytilidae.
ACCUAACAACGGGUUGUCCGAUCCAUGUGAAAACAUCAGGGCAGAUAGAUCUUGACCUGAUAAACAAUUAAACCCUGUCAGAUUUUCUCUUAAUGCUUCGGUUUUUGAGUUGUAAGCCAAAAACUGCAUUUUACCCCUAUGUUCUAUUAUUAGCCGUGGCAGCCAUUUUGGUUGAUUGGCCAGGUCACGCCACACAUUUUUUAAAAUAAAUUACCCCAAUGAUGAUUGUGGCCAAGUUUAGUUAAAUUUGGCCCAGUAGUUUCAGAGAAGAAGAUUUGUAAAAGAUUACUAAGUUUUAUGAAAAAAUGGUUAAAAAUUGACUAUAAAGGGCAAUAACUCCUUCAGGGGUCAACUGACCAUUUUGGUCAUGCUGACUUAUUUGUAAAUCUUACUUUGCUGAACAUUAUUGCUGUUUACAGUUUAUCUCUAUCUAUAAUAAUAAAAUUCAAGAUAAUAACCAAAAACAGCAAAAUUUCCUUAAAAUUACCAAUUCAGGGGCAGCAACCCAACAACAGGUUGUCCGAUUCAUCUGAAAAUUUCAGGACAGAUAGAUC